Molecule: long non-coding RNA, 1072 nt
Organism: Rosa chinensis
Lineage: Eukaryota; Viridiplantae; Streptophyta; Magnoliopsida; Rosales; Rosaceae
Exons: 7
Source: RefSeq, a predicted model, not a curated record
CUGCUCGUAGUGGUGCAGAAAAACAGAAGGCUUGUUUGUCUAAAUUUAUGGGGAGUCUUUUUCCCCAAUCAAUUUAUGGGUCUUGUUAAUUCAUUACCUAGACUCUUUGACAGCCAAGCACUCAGUUAACAAAAACCAAGCUAUCUCUGUUCUCUAUCCAUUCCGCUCCCACUUCUCUCCUAAGCUCUCAAAUACUUGAAUCUUCUCACUUCAUUUUCAUCUAAGGUCGAAAAUCAGUAGCUACUUUACCUCUAUACCUUGCUUCUCAUCAUGUUAAGUGAACAAAUGGAGGACUUUGAGAUUUCAAACCACUAAGCUUCUCUCUAUUUUGCUUCAAUACCAUAAAUUUUCUUUCCUUUCGAUAUUGGAGUUUGUUAGAGAUGGUGACAAAUCUGUUGUAGAGUUGAUGGAUAUUGGGAAACAACUUCUAGGGAGGAGGUUUCAUUACUCGAUCAAGGAAGCCAGGGAAAGCAGAGUUUUUUACAACUUAAGCAGGAUGAGACUAAGCUCUACAUCUUACUUGAGCUUGUAACAAAAGGAUCACUUGAAAGUCUCUAUUUAAAGUAUCUCUUGAGGAAUUCUCAAGUCUCUGUGUUCACAAGGCAGAUUUUGAGUGGCUUGAAAUAUCUUCAUGAUCGUAAUGUGCUCCACAGGGCAUUUCGAAGCAGAUUGGUGAUAAGACUUGUGGAUAUUAUAUUAUGCAUUACAUGAAGGAUAUAGUGGAGGACAAAAACCAAGAGUGGAAUGCUAAGUGGGAAAGAAAAGCAAAUCACUAUUACACAAUGGAGAAUGUUGAUGUUGUCCUGGCAGAGUGGGCAAAGUAUGUUCUUAAGUUCAAAGAUAACUAGUGUGUAGGUUAACUAGUAGUUGGAGAUAUGUAGCAUCAGCUUUUGAACAUGCAUAGUUGAUAUAUAGGCCAGAUUUGAUUGCAGUACUGCUAGCUAUUUUGCCAUGGUGUUUAGUUGGUUGCCCAGUUUAGUAGAUAUGGGCCAUUUAGAAUUGAUGCUGAUGAUUAGGUUUGUGUACAUGAGACAAUGGUGGAUUAAUAGAAAUUGCAAUGAUUGAUUUUGGA